CUUCCCAGAGGAAUGCCUACCUGCAUGAACGGGAUUGGCAGCUAUAUUUGAGCAGGAAUUGUGGACGGUGCAAAUUUAUUACAAAGGCUUCUUGGGGCAAGGGCCUGCCCUCUUGUAUUCUGCAAAGCACCAUGAAGACUGAUGGUGCUAACUCACUCACUCACUCUUCAUUGAAAAAUGAAACUUUGGUGCUCUCCUGUUGGGAUCCUUUUGUUCCUAAUGUGAUUCUGUGACUACAUACACAUGGGAAUAUUUCAGCACAAUUGGAUUCAACUGAAGGCACGUGAGGCUACCACCUUGCAGAAGCUAAGCAGGCCUGGAUCUGGUUGGGAGGGAUAUAACUGUAA
Rhineura floridana is the source of this 347-nucleotide long non-coding RNA. RefSeq lists it as uncharacterized. The transcript has 3 exons. The record is from RefSeq and is a predicted model, not a curated record. Lineage: Eukaryota; Metazoa; Chordata; Lepidosauria; Squamata; Rhineuridae.